Long non-coding RNA from Brassica oleracea var. oleracea, 816 nucleotides. RefSeq lists it as uncharacterized. NCBI's taxonomy places the organism in Eukaryota, Viridiplantae, Streptophyta, Magnoliopsida, Brassicales, Brassicaceae. The record is from RefSeq and is a predicted model, not a curated record. The transcript has 3 exons.
CUACGCCGUACGAAAGCUAAACUAGAUUUGGAGUUUUGAAAGCGUUCUUUCAUCUUCUUCCUUAAAAAUCUGAGAGGCAACCAGUUACAGACUUACAGGUUCAUCCUCUUAAAAUCGUUGCUUUAAUCCAUUAGCCACGAUCUCUCUUCAAUGCCAAUUUGACUCCUGCGAGGCGGUGUAACUGCAGCUAUAAAAAGGUUGGCUUUCCUACUUUGAGAAUCAUCUCAUCAUCCAGUCCAAACAAACCAGUAUCACUAUUUUCGGAGAAAUUUUCUUUCUGCUUUGAAGACCGGACGCUCCUCCUCCAAUGUACAAGUGCGGUUGCUCUAUUUAUGGGAUGCCAGGAACGUCCAACUAGACGAACUCAUGGGAGUGAAUAUGCUUCUACUGGAUUCACAGAGGAAGGUCGAAGAGAAGAUGAGGAAUCUGACAUGAAUGGGAGGAGGGCUCAUGCACAAUGUAUCUGCAGUAUCUUUCCAGCCUGAGCUUCCAAUAAUACUCACAGGUUUUGAGGAUGGCACUGUUCGCAUUUGGCACCCUAUGACGUUAGAGAACACACUGAAUUAUGCUCUUGAGUUUGCGCCAUUGGUUACAUAAAAAGUUUGCGCCAGUCAGUUUCUGAAUUUAUGCUUCCGCAUUUUACGUUUCUGAUUUGUUCUUAGUUUCCUUCUGAAAUUGACGAUUUGGAGAGCUAAUAGCGCUUGGAAUUGCUAAGAGGUGUUGAUGGAUCAGUGUUAUAUAAUACAAGACCAUGAAAAACAAAUGUGUUUUCGUUUUACAGGGUUUACAUCGUGAUGCAUGGUAUUUCUGUGUUUA